RNAcentral lists this ribosomal RNA (274 nucleotides) under uncultured bacterium. RNAcentral describes it as "partial 16S ribosomal RNA". It matches the Rfam family "Bacterial small subunit ribosomal RNA", at positions 523 to 796 of the family's 1533-position model. The record is from RNAcentral.
AUACGGAGGGGGCUAGCGUUGUUCGGAAUUACUGGGCGUAAAGCGCAUGUAGGUGGUGUGGCAAGUUAGAGGUGAAAGGCCUGGGCUCAACCUGGGAACUGCCUUUAAUACUGUCACGCUAGAGUUCGGGAGAGGGUAGCGGAAUUCCAAGUGUAGAGGUGAAAUUCGUAGAUAUUUGGAAGAACACCGGUGGCGAAGGCGGCUACCUGGACCGACACUGACACUGAGAUGCGAAAGCGUGGGGAGCGAACAGGAUUAGAUACCCUAGUAGUCC